GAGAAAUGGCUGCUACAUUCGCAU
Molecule: non-coding RNA, 24 nt
Filed under: Arabidopsis thaliana (thale cress)
Lineage: Eukaryota; Viridiplantae; Streptophyta; Magnoliopsida; Brassicales; Brassicaceae
Source: RNAcentral